GACGAACGCUGGCGGCGUGCUUAACACAUGCAAGUCGAACGCUGAAGCUUGGUGCUUGCACUGGGUGGAUGAGUGGCGAACGGGUGAGUAAUACGUGAGUAACCUGCCCUUGACUCUGGGAUAAGCCUGGGAAACUGGGUCUAAUACUGGAUACGACAUGUCACCGCAUGGUGGUGUGUGGAAAGGGUUUUACUGGUUUUGGAUGGGCUCACGGCCUAUCAGCUUGUUGGUGGGGUAAUGGCUCACCAAGGCGACGACGGGUAGCCGGCCUGAGAGGGUGACGGCCCACACGGGGACGAGGCAACGCCCCAAAUUCUUACGGAGGGCAGCGGUGGGAAUAAUGGCACAAGGGGCGAAGGCCUAUUGAGGCAAGGCGGGUGGGGGGAUACGGGCCUUGGGUUGGUAACCUCUUUCAGCACGGAAGAAGCGAAAGUGACGGUACGUGCAGAAGAAGCGCCGGCUAACUACGUG
RNAcentral lists this ribosomal RNA (471 nucleotides) under uncultured bacterium. Its description in RNAcentral is "partial 16S ribosomal RNA". It matches the Rfam family "Bacterial small subunit ribosomal RNA", at positions 28 to 507 of the family's 1533-position model. The record is from RNAcentral.